Molecule: unclassified non-coding RNA, 770 nt
Filed under: Hevea brasiliensis (rubber tree)
Lineage: Eukaryota; Viridiplantae; Streptophyta; Magnoliopsida; Malpighiales; Euphorbiaceae
Source: RNAcentral
UUAAUUAAAGCAGCCCAUCACUUUGCUUAGAAAACUGAAAAAGAAUGAUUCUCUCUCAAAAGGAAACCCCAAAGGAACCUCUUAAUCUUAAAGACUACUUUACUCAUAUACAUAUAAUUAGAUCAAUAAUUCAACCUUAUUUUCAUCUGUUUCAGAAGCAAGACAAAACUUAGCUCGAUGGAAACCGAGGAUGAAGCUGCCAUCAACUUCUCUUACGAUGAUUUCGAGCCCUUCUGCAGGUGGCGAAGAGAGGAGAAUUGUGACUUGCUUGAGGUCCAUGGUCUCCAAGAUUUCAAAAGGGAGCAACUCAACGUGAGAAUGAAGCUCGGCACCUUAAUCAUAACAGGAGAACUCCCUCGGAAGAAUAAUAUUAGAAGUCGUUUCAGAAAAGAAAUCAGAAUUCCCAAAAAUUGCAAAAUGGAAGAGAUUCGAGCAAAGUUUAAGAAAAGAGGAAUUCUGUGUAUAUCAUUGCCUAAGAAAACCUCCUCAGCAUCAUCCAAGAAAGGAAGCAAUACUAGAGAUGAAAAAAAAUGUUCGCCAUCAAAUUUCUUGGCUGUGGCUGUGGUCAUACUUUCCAUGGCUAUUGCUGCAUUUGCGUACAAAUACUACUUGAGGGCUAAUUGAAUUCAAUAUAUAGUCUAAAUAUUGAAUAUAUAUAUGUGUGUGGUUUUGCCGUUUUGGCUUUUAAAUGUGAAUCACACUAUGCACUACCUCUUUAAUUCAAGAAAAUUUGAUUAAAUUCUCUUUUAUAUUGUAGUAAUGUAUCGCAG